RNAcentral lists this transfer RNA (69 nucleotides) under Agriotes fuscicollis. Its description in RNAcentral is "tRNA-Gln". The record is from RNAcentral. Lineage: Eukaryota; Metazoa; Arthropoda; Insecta; Coleoptera; Elateridae.
UAUGCUUUAGUAUAUGAUGUACAAGGGUUUUUGAUGCUCGAGGAGCCAGUUUAAUUCUGGUAAGUGUAA